UACAGAGGGUGCAAGCGUUGUUCGGAAUUAUUGGGCGUAAAGGGAGUGUAGGCGGUCGAUUAAGUCUUCUGUGAAAUCUACGGGCUCAGCCUGUAACGUGCAGAGGAAACUGGUAGACUUGAGUGUCGGAGAGGAUAGUGGAAUUCCCGGUGUAGAGGUGAAAUUCGUAGAGAUCGGGAGGAACACCAGUGGCGAAGGCGACUAUCUGGCUGACAACUGACGCUGAGACUCGAAAGCAUGGGGAGCAAACAGG
This 253-nucleotide ribosomal RNA is filed under the name uncultured bacterium. RNAcentral's name for it is "partial 16S ribosomal RNA". It matches the Rfam family "Bacterial small subunit ribosomal RNA", at positions 524 to 776 of the family's 1533-position model. The record is from RNAcentral.